CCUACGGGAGGCUGCAGUCGAGAAUCAUUCACAAUGGGGGAAACCCUGAUGGUGCGACGCCGCGUGGGGGAAUGAAGGUCUUCGGAUUGUAAACCCCUGUCAUGUGGGAGCAAAUUAAAAAGAUAGUACCACAAGAGGAAGAGACGGCUAACUCUGUGCCAGCAGCCGCGGUAAUAGAGAGGUCUCAAGCGUUGUUCGGAAUCACUGGGCGUAAGGCGUGCGGAGGCUGUUUCGUAAGUCGUGUGUGAAAGGCGCGGGCUCAACCCGCGGACGGCACAUGAUACUGCGAGACUAGAGUAAUGGAGGGGGAACCGGAAUUCUCGGUGUAGCAGUGAAAUGCGUAGAUAUCGAGAGGAACACUCGUGCGAAGGCGGGUUCCUGGACAUUAACUGACGCUGAGGCACGAAGGCCAGGGGAGCGAAAGGGAUUAGAUACCCCUGUAGUC
RNAcentral lists this ribosomal RNA (445 nucleotides) under uncultured bacterium. Its description in RNAcentral is "partial 16S ribosomal RNA". It matches the Rfam family "Bacterial small subunit ribosomal RNA", at positions 338 to 795 of the family's 1533-position model. The record is from RNAcentral.